This 517-nucleotide ribosomal RNA is filed under the name Rhinatrema bivittatum (two-lined caecilian). RNAcentral's name for it is "partial 16S ribosomal RNA". It matches the Rfam family "Archaeal large subunit ribosomal RNA", at positions 1946 to 2666 of the family's 2987-position model. Lineage: Eukaryota; Metazoa; Chordata; Amphibia; Gymnophiona; Rhinatrematidae. The record is from RNAcentral.
ACUGCCUGCCCAGUGAAAAUUAUUUUAACGGCCGCGGUAUUCUGACCGUGCAAAGGUAGCAUAAUCACUUGUCUUUUAAAUAAAGACCUGUAUGAACGGCAACACGAAGGCUUAACUGUCUCCUUUACCUAAUCAGUGAAAUUAGUUAUCCUGUACAAAAACAGGAAUACUCACACAAGACGAGAAGACCCUAUGGAGCUUUAAACGCACAGCCAACCUAACACACCAACCAGUUAUUUGACCUGUCGUUUUCGGUUGGGGCGACCACGGAGAACAAUACAUCCUCCGAGUACAUAUUAACACAAUUAAUUAGACUAAGAGCCACAUCACAAAGCACCAGAAAUUCUAAUUUAUUGACCCAUGAUUUGAUCAACGAACCAAGUUACCCUAGGGAUAACAGCGCAAUCCUAUUAGAGAGUCCAUAUCGAUAAUGGGGUUUACGACCUCGAUGUUGGAUCAGGAUCCCCAAACAGUGCAGCAGCUGUUAAAGGUUCGUUUGUUCAACGAUUAAAAUCCU